CUUUUUUUUUGGUAUUACUUUUUUUUGGUAUUACUUUUUUUUGGUAUUACUUUUUUUUGGUAUUACUUUUUUUCCGCUUUACUUAUUUCCGCGUUACCUUUUUUUUUUAUGUUCUUUCUUUUUAUGCUUUAUUAAAUGUUAUACUCUUUUUAUAACUUUUUUUUUUUAUAUACACACAAUUUAAUAGCACAAUUAUAAUUAAAUAGGUACAUAUAUAUAUAUAUAUAUAUUUAUAUAUGCUGUAACUCUAAUAAAAACAACAAAAUGAACAUAAAACACGUAGACGGAUGUGAGUACAAGGGAAGAGAAGAUGACUUUUAUACAAAAAAUGAAGCAAAUAAUUUUAUUAAAAAAUUAAUAAAUGAAAGAAAAAGGUAUAUGGUAGAUCAAGAUAGUUUUUAUUCUGAUGAUAAAAAUAUAUGUCCAAAUGUUUAUUGUAAUAUUUACACCGAUUUAUUUAACUGGUUUGGUUUUAAAAAUACAAGAAAAAUAAAUAAAAAAUCACUAAUUGCUUGUUUUACUGAUGUAACGAAUGGUGGAGUAGGGUAUUAUGAAAAAUUAAUUGUUUUAGGUGGGAGGAUAUUAGAGCUAUAUAGCGAGUUACAUUUUUAUAAUAAAUAUAAUUAUGAGAAGGAUGAAGAAAUUGUUUCUGAUUUAAAAAAUAUUAAAUCUGUUAAAGAUGUUGUUUAUCAUUACUUGUAUGUUCAAAAAAGAAAAAACAGGGUUACAUAUAAAAACAGUAUAUAUUUAUUUGGUUAUUCAUAUUUAUAUACACCCAUAUUUUUUAACAAUAAAAACGCAAUAAUAAAAUAUGUUAAAGCAUGUAUAGCUUAUGCUGUAAAAUUUAAUGAAACAAACAUUUUUUCUUGGAUAUCUUCUUUAAUUGAACAUAUAUAUUAUAGUCAGACGUUAAAAGUUUCAAAAGUACCAGUAGAAAAUGAACUCAUACAAGAUCUACAAGAAUUUAUGGGUUAUCGUUAUGAUUAUUUAUUACCUCGAAUAGUGGAAUGUUUUAAUUGUCACAAUAUAUAUAUAAAUAACUCACAGUUAACCGGAUUACAAAUUAUACGAUUAUUUUCUAAUGAUUAUUUUUCUCUAUUAGCGGAAGUAAUAAUUUUUUUUUUUUUUUUUACAUAUAACGCUAAUACGUUUUUUUUAUUUUUUUUUUUUAUUUUUUUUUUUUAUUUUUUUUUUUUAUUAUUUUUUUUUUUUUUUAUUUUUUCUAUUAUACAUUUCUCCAUUUUUCCUCUUCCGCAUGUUCUCAUUUUCUAUUUAUUUAUAUUAUUUAUUUUAUUUAUUUUAUUUAUAUUAUUUAUAUUAUUUGUU
RNAcentral lists this long non-coding RNA (1326 nucleotides) under Piliocolobus tephrosceles (Ugandan red Colobus). RNAcentral's name for it is "lncRNA (ENSPTEG00000014833.1)". The record is from RNAcentral. Lineage: Eukaryota; Metazoa; Chordata; Mammalia; Primates; Cercopithecidae.